This is a long non-coding RNA of Xenopus laevis (African clawed frog), 1281 nucleotides long. RefSeq lists it as uncharacterized. The record is from RefSeq and is a predicted model, not a curated record. NCBI's taxonomy places the organism in Eukaryota, Metazoa, Chordata, Amphibia, Anura, Pipidae. The transcript is spliced from 5 exons.
GCGUGGCAAUGGCUCGUCAGGAACUAAGGAGGUUUCGCGAGGGGGCGUGCGUUUUCCUCAACCGGGGGUGGCUUAGACGGCGUUACCAUGGCUACAAAUAACGCGUGGUGUCGAAACCGCAGCAGCUCUGUAGAAAAAGCAGCUGAUAUCCAGUCGCUGGUGCGCCGUGUCGUAACGUGGGGAUUUAAAAAACCAUGUCUGAGCCCACGGCUACUGGGGGAAAGCGAAGAAGCUGAGUUCAGCUGUCACUAUGGAAGGUAGAAAGUUGGAAGGAAGUGGAGACUAUGGAGUAGCACAGACACCAGGUAUAAACUGGAGCAGCUGCCCAGGGCCCUGUGUAUACAAUAGCACGGUCUCCAUUCUGCCCAGAUGUAUUUCUGAGUUGCUCUGUAUUUCUGAGUUGCUCUGUAUUCACUUAUGGCAGCAACAUGUUCUGUCACCCAUUGUAACCUUUUCUAAUACAACCAAUGCCGUAAAUGACAUCAUGUGGUCUCCUUCCUUGCGUUAAUACUUGGGGCAGUCAGUGAGAACAGACUGAAAAUCUGGGAAACAGGUCUGGGACCUGUUCAGAUUGCUUGGGACCUGGAGUUUUCUGGAUAAGGUGAAUGCCUUUUAUGACAUAAUUGGAGCAACGUUAGCCACUCAGCUCUAAUUUAUUUACUAAAAUGUUUAAUAACAAACAUACGGUACAGUGUCACAGAACUGAUGGGAGAGAACAACACCCUACAUUUUCUACCGGAUUCAACCAGAUGCCUUCUCUAUUUACAAUAUUUAACUAGGCUCUAAUUCCUGAAAGACCAACUGCUUUAUGUUCGUUUUAUGAGUGUAUGUGCUUUUAGCCAUCUCUUGUGGUUCCAAGUGCAUGUACUGGAUGGGAAGCAAGUGGAAAAUAGAUAAAUACAUAAAAUCAUAACACAGCCAUUUACUUUCAUUAUUUCAGCCACAGCUGCAACAAUCCGUACUGGACACACAGGGAAGUCCCAGAACAGUCAUUUUAAGGAACAAAAUAACAUGAUGACAAGGACCUACAGCAAACUCAGUAACUCCAGGGGGAACAGAACUGUAGACAGCCCAGUAGGCAUCAUGCCGAAAGCUCAGUUUUAAAAUGUGAUCCAUUAGUCUUUUCAAGGCCUCAUAUACCAGAUGCAAGAUUCAUGUCUUUUUACUGGAUAUCUAAAUGCAAUUUUAUAGUGUUUGUAGUGUGUCAAGAAAACCAAUAUCCAUCAAGCUAAUUUUGGGCAAAUAAUUCUCUGUAGUAAUAAAGAAAUACCUUGCACUUGA